UACGUAGGGGGCAAGCGUUGUCCGGAUUUAUUGGGCGUAAAGAGCGUGUAGGCGGCCAGACAGGUCCGUUGUGAAAACUCGAGGCUCAACCUCGAGACGCCGAUGGAAACCGUCUGGCUAGAGUCCGGAAGAGGAGAGUGGAAUUCCUGGUGUAGCGGUGAAAUGCGCAGAUAUCAGGAAGAACACCGAUGGCGAAGGCAGUUCUCUGGGCCGUAACUGACGCUGAGGAGCGAAAGCGUGGGGAGCGAACAGG
RNAcentral lists this ribosomal RNA (253 nucleotides) under uncultured bacterium. RNAcentral describes it as "partial 16S ribosomal RNA". It matches the Rfam family "Bacterial small subunit ribosomal RNA", at positions 524 to 776 of the family's 1533-position model. The record is from RNAcentral.